CCAGACUCCUACGGGAGGCAGCAGUGGGGAAUAUUGGGCAAUGGGCGCAAGCCUGACCCAGCAACGCCGCGUGAAGGAAGAAGGCCCUCGGGUUGUAAACUUCUUUUGUCAGGGACGAAGAAAAUGACGGUACCUGACUAAGAAGCCCCGGCUAACUACGUGCCAGCAGCCGCGGUAAUACGUAGGGGGCAAGCGUUAUCCGGAUUUACUGGGUGUAAAGGGAGCGUAGACGGCAGUGCAAGUCCGGAGUGAAGGCCCGGGGCUCAACCCUGGGACUGCUCUGGAAACUGUAAAGCUGGAGUGCGGGAGGGGCAGGCGGAAUUCCUGGUGUAGCGGUGAAAUGCGUAGAUAUCAGGAGGAACACCGGCGGCGAAGGCGGCCUGCUGGACCGUAACUGACGUUGAGGCUCGAAAGCGUGGGGAGCAAACAGGAUUAGAUACCCCAGUAA
Molecule: ribosomal RNA, 448 nt
Filed under: uncultured bacterium
Lineage: Bacteria
Description: partial 16S ribosomal RNA
Rfam family: Bacterial small subunit ribosomal RNA
Source: RNAcentral